This 86-nucleotide transfer RNA is filed under the name Sutterella sp. Its description in RNAcentral is "tRNA-Leu". It matches the Rfam family "tRNA". Rfam says of the family: Transfer RNA (tRNA) molecules are approximately 80 nucleotides in length. Their secondary structure includes four short double-helical elements and three loops (D, anti-codon, and T loops). Further hydrogen bonds mediate the characteristic L-shaped molecular structure. tRNAs have two regions of fundamental functional importance: the anti-codon, which is responsible for specific mRNA codon recognition, and the 3' end, to which the tRNAs corresponding amino acid is attached (by aminoacyl-tRNA synthetases). tRNAs cope with the degeneracy of the genetic code in two manners: having more than one tRNA (with a specific anti-codon) for a particular amino acid; and 'wobble' base-pairing, i.e. permitting non-standard base-pairing at the 3rd anti-codon position. RNAcentral also lists the same sequence under 1 other name. The record is from RNAcentral. Lineage: Bacteria; Pseudomonadati; Pseudomonadota; Betaproteobacteria; Burkholderiales; Sutterellaceae.
GCGGGAGUGGCGAAAUUGGUAGACGCACCAGGUUUAGGUCCUGACGCUGAUAAGGCGUGUCGGUUCAAGUCCGGCCUCCCGCACCA